AGUGGCGGACGGGUGAGUAACGCGUGAGAAUCUGCCUUCAGGAUGGGGACAACAGUUGGAAACGACUGCUAAUACCCGAUGUGCCGAGAGGUGAAAAUUUUUUGCCUGAAGAGGAGCUCGCGUCUGAUUAGCUAGUUGGUGGGGUAAAGGCUUACCAAGGCAACGAUCAGUAGCUGGUCUGAGAGGAUGAGCAGCCACACUGGGACUGAGACACGGCCCAGACUCCUACGGGAGGCAGCAGUGGGGAAUUUUCCGCAAUGGGCGAAAGCCUGACGGAGCAAUACCGCGUGAGGGAGGAAGGCCUUUGGGUUGUAAACCUCUUUUCUCAGGGAAGAAGAUCUGACGGUACCUGAGGAAUAAGCAUCGGCUAACUCCGUGCCAGCAGCCGCGGUAAUACGGAGGAUGCAAGCGUUAUCCGGAAUUAUUGGGCGUAAAGCGUCCGCAGGUGGUUUUUCAAGUCUGCUGUCAAAGACCAGAGCUCAACUCUGGGCCGGCGGUGGAAACUGGGAAACUAGAGUUCGGUAGGGGUAGCGGGAAUUCCCAGUGUAGCGGUGAAAUGCGUAGAUAUUGGGAAGAACAUCGGUGGCGAAGGCGCGCUACUGGACCGAAACUGACACUCAGGGACGAAAGCUAGGGGAGCGAAAGGGAUUAGAUACCCC
RNAcentral lists this ribosomal RNA (659 nucleotides) under uncultured bacterium. RNAcentral's name for it is "bacterial SSU rRNA". It matches the Rfam family "Bacterial small subunit ribosomal RNA", at positions 94 to 788 of the family's 1533-position model. The record is from RNAcentral.